GACGGAGGGGGCUAGCGUUGUUCGGAAUUACUGGGCGUAAAGGGCUCGUAGGUGGCCAACUAAGUCAGACGUGAAAUCCCUCGGCUUAACCGGGGAACUGCGUCUGAUACUGGAUGGCUUGAGUUUGGGAGAGGGACGCGGAAUUCCAGGUGUAGCGGUGAAAUGCGUAGAUAUCUGGAGGAACACCGGUGGCGAAGGCGGCGUCCUGGACCAACACUGACACUGAUGAGCGAAAGCCAGGGGAGCAAACGGG
Molecule: ribosomal RNA, 253 nt
Filed under: uncultured bacterium
Lineage: Bacteria
Description: partial 16S ribosomal RNA
Rfam family: Bacterial small subunit ribosomal RNA
Source: RNAcentral